AUGAAGCGGAAGUUCAUUAUGAUGCCAGUGCUCAUCCAAGGCCCUAAGCAACCCGGCAACGACAUUGAUGUGUACCUAAGACCAUUAGUUGAAGAACUCUUACAACUGUGGAAUGGAACAGGUGUACGUGCGUGGGAUGAGCACGGACAGGAAGAAUUUGACCUAAAGGCGUUGCUGUUCGUGACCAUCAAUGAUUGGCCUGCUCUCAGUAACCUUUCAGGACAGACAAACAAGGGAUACCGCGGAUGCACGCACUGUUUGGAUGAUACCGACAGUAUAUAUUUGAAUAGUUGUAAGAAGAAUCUGUACCUGGGACAUCAUUGA
RNAcentral lists this ribosomal RNA (324 nucleotides) under Triticum aestivum (bread wheat). Its description in RNAcentral is "partial small subunit ribosomal RNA". The record is from RNAcentral. Lineage: Eukaryota; Viridiplantae; Streptophyta; Magnoliopsida; Poales; Poaceae.